This 335-nucleotide ribosomal RNA is filed under the name uncultured Glomus. RNAcentral describes it as "SSU rRNA". It matches the Rfam family "Eukaryotic small subunit ribosomal RNA", at positions 602 to 943 of the family's 1831-position model. The record is from RNAcentral. Lineage: Eukaryota; Fungi; Glomeromycota; Glomeromycetes; Glomerales; Glomeraceae.
UAUUAAAGUUGCUGCAGUUAAAAAGCUCGUAGUUGAAUUUCGGGGUCAAUAUGUUGGUCGUGCCUUGGUACGUACUAGCUUAUUGAUUUCUCCUUUCUGACGAACCAUGAUGUCAUUAAUUUGGUGUCAUGGGGAAUCAGGACUGUUACUUUGAAAAAAUUAGAGUGUUUAAAGCAGGCUCGCGCUUGAAUACAUUAGCAUGGAAUAAUGAAAUAGGACGUUUGAUUCUAUUUUGUUGGUUUCUAGGAUCGACGUAAUGAUUAAUAGGGAUAGUUGGGGGCAUUAGUAUUCAAUUGUCAGAGGUGAAAUUCUUGGAUUUAUUGAAGACUAACUAC